AUAGUAUGUAUAAUUUUUAAAUUAAGUUUUUGACUUGCUUAAUCCUUUUUUUUUUAGUAAUGGAUCGUUGUAGAUGUGAAGAAUACGAGGAUGCUGUGAAAAAGCUCAGAUUCUACACAGUUGGAACACUAAGGCCGGAUAUAAUAGACAAUUAUAAUAGGUCUGGCUUUAUAGCAACCUGGGUUCGCCAUGGAGUGGACUACGAAGAUAUGAAGUUCUCUAAACCAAAAGCUUAUAGAGUGCUUGAUCCCAGUGAGUUGCCACAAAACAAGAUGGCGCCAGCUGUCAGGAAAGUUGAACAAAUGUGGUGUCCUUACCUUAUUACUAGACGCAAGUGGUAGUAUAGACUUAACGCUGCUAAUAUUUUGAUCUUUCAUAGUAAUAAAUUUAUUUUCAAAAAUUCGAGUGCC
Pieris napi is the source of this 410-nucleotide long non-coding RNA. RefSeq lists it as uncharacterized. The transcript is spliced from 2 exons. Lineage: Eukaryota; Metazoa; Arthropoda; Insecta; Lepidoptera; Pieridae. The record is from RefSeq and is a predicted model, not a curated record.